Molecule: non-coding RNA, 228 nt
Organism: Vicia faba (fava bean)
Lineage: Eukaryota; Viridiplantae; Streptophyta; Magnoliopsida; Fabales; Fabaceae
Source: the annotation of a GenBank genome assembly
AUGAUAAUGGUUAUGGUAUCUUGCGACUUGUGUGUUGUACAUAGCAGAGUUCUUCGAUCUGAGGCAGUAAAUGCAGAAAAAUUUGAUGGUUGUGAAGGAAAAUCUGAAGAAUAUGUUGGAAUGACAACGUUUUCUGUUUCUUCAAACAACUCAAGCAUUCGUAGUUCAGCAAGAAGCUUAGCAUUUAGAUUAGCUUCUGGACCAAGCAAAAAAGGCAAAGGACAUUAA